RNAcentral lists this transfer RNA (534 nucleotides) under Synechococcus sp. TAU-MAC 0499. RNAcentral's name for it is "partial 16S-23S ribosomal RNA intergenic spacer". The stretch from base 292 to 364 matches the Rfam family "tRNA". The record is from RNAcentral. Lineage: Bacteria; Bacillati; Cyanobacteriota; Cyanophyceae; Synechococcales; Synechococcaceae.
UGAGCCAUCAAAGCCAAGGUAGAAGCCAGAGAGCUCGAGAGAGCAGGAUGGAGGAAGCCAAGGAUGUUGUGAUGGACUCGUUUUCAGUUCCUAAACUUUGUCUAGGUCACCCCACCAAGGGUUUUGCCAGACAUCCAGUGUUUCGGAUCCCGCCAGGGAGAGGAAGCCAUGGGUGAUUGGAGGAACCACUGUCAGAGUGAUUGUUCCUGGGCCAUUAGCUCAGGUGGUUAGAGCGCACCCCUGAUAAGGGUGAGGUCCCUGGUUCAAGUCCAGGAUGGCCCAUUCGUGUUUGGGGGUUUAGCUCAGUUGGUAGAGCGCCUGCUUUGCAAGCAGGAUGUCAGCGGUUCGAGUCCGCUAACCUCCAUCCAGCUAGGUUAAGACCACAACAUGAAGCUGCAUCAGGAGGAAUUCUGAUGGGUGAAGUGACCGGACAUGUUCAGCUGAGGACUCCAGCCUCCUUUCAUUCCCAAAGAAUGGAUUCAUCGUAUUAGAUGAGUUUCAUUUUGUGAUGGUUGAAAGGAAGCUGGACUCGCU